GGGGAAUAUUGGACAAUGGGCGAAAGCCUGAUCCAGCCAUGCCGCGUGUGUGAAGAAGGUCUUCGGAUUGUAAAGCACUUUAAGUUGGGAGGAAGGGUUUCUGGCAAUAUUCCAGGCAUUUUGCAGUUACCGACAGAAUAACCACGUCCAACUUUCGUCCCAGCAGCCGCGGUAAUACGAAGGGUGCAAGCGUUAAGCGGAAUUACUGGGCGUAAAGCGCGCGUAGGUGGUUCGUUAAGUUGGAUGUGAAAGCCCCGGGCUCAACCUGGGAACUGCAUCCAAAACUGGCGAGCUAGAGUAUGGCAGAGGGUGGUGGAAUUUCCUGUGUAGCGGUGAAAUGCGUAGAUAUAGGAAGGAACACCAGUGGCGAAGGCGACCACCUGGGCUAAUACUGACACUGAGGUGCGAAAGCGUGGGGAGCAAACA
Molecule: ribosomal RNA, 426 nt
Filed under: uncultured Pseudomonadaceae bacterium
Lineage: Bacteria; Pseudomonadati; Pseudomonadota; Gammaproteobacteria; Pseudomonadales; Pseudomonadaceae
Description: bacterial SSU rRNA
Rfam family: Bacterial small subunit ribosomal RNA
Source: RNAcentral